AGUGAACGCUGGCGGUAGGCCUAACACAUGCAAGUCGAACGGCAGCACAGUGAGAGCUUGCUCUUACGGGUGGCGAGUGGCGGACGGGUGAGGAAUACAUCGAAAUCUACUUUUUCGUGGGGGAUAACGUAGGGAAACUUACGCUAAUACCGCAUACGACCUACGGGUGAAAGCAGGGGAUCUUCGGACCUUGCGCGAUUGAAUGAGCCGAUGUCGGAUUAGCUAGUUGGCGGGGUAAAGGCCCACCAAGGCGACGAUCCGUAGCUGGUCUGAGAGGAUGAUCAGCCACACUGGAACUGAGACACGGUCCAGACUCCUACGGGAGGCAGCAGUGGGGAAUAUUGGACAAUGGGCGCAAGCCUGAUCCAGCCAUACCGCGUGGGUGAAGAAGGCCUUCGGGUUGUAAAGCCCUUUUGUUGGGAAAGAAAAGCAGCAGGUUAAUACCCCGCUGUUCUGACGGUACCCAAAGAAUAAGCACCGGCUAACUUCGUG
Molecule: ribosomal RNA, 492 nt
Filed under: uncultured bacterium
Lineage: Bacteria
Description: partial 16S ribosomal RNA
Rfam family: Bacterial small subunit ribosomal RNA
Source: RNAcentral